This is an RNA transcript of Aquila chrysaetos chrysaetos, 6104 nucleotides long. It is a transcript of the gene named intraflagellar transport 57, with no coding region annotated. The record is from RefSeq and is a predicted model, not a curated record. The transcript is spliced from 13 exons. Lineage: Eukaryota; Metazoa; Chordata; Aves; Accipitriformes; Accipitridae.
GGGGGCUCCAAGAUGGCGGAGGAGACCGCGGGCGGCGGGGGGGUUCGGCGCGGGGCGGGGGCGGACCGGGACGAUGAAGGGGCGAUGGCGACGGAGCGGGGCCCGGGCGCGGCGUAUCACAUGUUCGUGCUGAUGGAGGACCUGCUGGACAAGCUGAAGCUGCUGAGCUACGAGGAGGAGGCGCUGCGCCGCCACAACAUGCGGCCGCUCUCCAGGCACUACUUUGCACUGCCCACUAAUCCUGGUGAGCAGUUCUUUAUGUUUUGUACGCUUGCCGCUUGGCUGAUCACUAAAGCGGGACAUCCCUUCGAACAGCCACAAGAAUAUGAUGACCCCAAUGCAAUAAUAUCAAAUGUACUCUCAGAAUUGCGAUCGUUUGGAAGGCCUGUGGAUUUUCCUCCCUCAAAAUUAAAGGCAGGUUACGGAGAGCAAGUGUGCUAUGUUCUUGAUUGUUUAGCUGAAGAAGCUUUGAAAUACACUGGCUUUAGCUGGAAGAGGCCAGCAUAUCCAACAGAAGAGCUAGAAGAAGAAGAAAUAACAGAAGAUGAUGCUGAAUUAACACUUAAUAAACUGGAAGAGGAUGUUGCGGAAGAAGAGUCAGACAAUGAAGAAGAUUUUAUUGACCUCAGUGUUCUAAAGGCACAAACGUACAGAUCGGACAUGAAUGACACUGCAAAGCAAGAAGAGAUUUUACAGUCCACGACAGAUGCAGCAGAGUGGAAUCUGGAAGUGGAACGUGUGCUUCCACAGCUGAAAGUUACAGUCAGGACUGACAAUAAGGAUUGGAGGAUUCAUGUAGAUCAAAUGCAUCAGCAUAAGGAUGGAAUUGAAUCUUCUUUGAAAGAAACUAGGGGUUACCUUGACAAACUCCAUAAUGAAAUCAGCAGAACAUUGGAAAAGAUAAAUAGCAGGGAAAAGUACAUCAACAAUCAGUUGGAGCACUUGGUUCAAGAGUACCGUUCAGCACAAGCCUUGCUGAGUGAGGCUAAAGAGAAGUACCAAGAGGGAAGUGGAGGAGUAACUGAAAGGAUUAGAGUGCUUUCUGAGAUUACAGAAGUAUUAGAGAGAGUAAAGCAGGAAACGGAAGAGAAAGGAAGCAGUAUGACCGAUGGUGCUCCUCUAGUGAAGAUUAAACAAGCCUUAACAAAACUGAAGCAAGAAACCAUUCAGAUGGACAUACAAAUUGGUGUAAUGGAACACACAUUACUCCAGUCAAAGCUGAAAGAGAAAUCCAAUAUGACUAGAGAUAUGCAUGCAACAAUGAUUCCAGAAGCCACAGACACCCAGGAACCAAUGCUGUUCAAGCUUUCCUGGUGAUCUCCAUUCCCACCACAUGACCAGCUAGGGCAGUUAUAUCGCUCAUAUUGCUGAGCCGGACCUUGCUCUUCCCCAGAAAUCAUAUUCCUGGGUGUACAUGUCACCCUGUCAGGAGGAAGCGACCAUGGCAUUCUAUGAAAAGUUGCUUCAGGCAAAGAAGGGCACUGCUCUCAGUGGCCAGCCCGAAUCACAGACCACAUACUCAGUGCCUCUGCCUUGGAGAGAGCUGAAAACGGAACCAAGACCCUGUGGGCAUCUGCAACUACCUGCAUGCGGAGUGAAGAAAGGCAGUGUUAAGGAGAUGGUAGUUGUGAUCGCUCCCAUGGAGGACGGACUUGGGAGGACAAAAGCUGGUGAACAUGAGGAAACAAUUGGACAUGCCUAUGUAGAGAAACAAUCCCGGAAAGGAAACAGGAAGGCUGCAGCAUGGGAAAAGUCAUCAGUAGCUGGAUGAGGCUGUUUCUGUGACGUAAAGGGGCAGAAGGCAGCUGCAAUUGCAGAAGAAGGCAGCAAGGAAGCAAAAGCACUGGAGCAAGUAUAUUUGCUGUGAGAGUGAACAGCAAGAGAAAAGCGCAGUUGACAGGAAAAAGGAGCAGCUCGCUUAAAGGAAGGAGAAAGAGGCAUGGAGGGUGGGGAGAAUAGACUAGUACGAAAUUGGAGUUCACUACAGCCUUAACAGAAGCUAACCUGGUUGAAAAUACUCUGGUGUAACCAAAUUCAGGUGGAAAAAUGCCCACAUGACGAGACCAAAACACUUUACUUGAAACAAGCCAGUUGCAGAGUUCAAGCUAGGGUUCAGCUGGAGUGCUGCCUGCGUCCCUGGCAUCCUGCCCCAGAGCCACAGACAAACCAUAUGUCUCCGUGCCCUGGGCCAGUCUGCCUAAGACUCCUGGCUCCACAGAGAUCCACCAAGCUGGAGAAGGCAAUGCCUCGUGGACUGCCUACACUGGCUCUGAAAGCCUCGGAAGCCCCAGCUUGAACAGCCGCUCAGCUGUACAGGUAAGUGUUGGCAUGAAGCCUGUCUGGAGAUGCAGCACUCUGCCAGCAGUCACAAUAGGAAAAACCAAACAUGCAGCCCUGGGACUUCAGCUUUACCGCUAGCUUAAACCGAUCUAACAAGAAGCUGCUGUGGGUAGGUUCAGUUGCCCGUUUCGUUUCCUGAUCUGCACCUUUCUGCCACUUCUCCUGCACGAGUUGCCAACGUACAGCAGCGUGAUGAGUUGGAACAGCUCACAGAUCAGCCUGAAAACUAACCCUGUAGGAGCCCCCUCUGCCUGCCCAUCCCACAGCAGUCGGCUCAGCAGCCCCUUGGAAAGACACAGAGUAGGAAACAGAGGAAAGGAAGGCACGGGUGAGUUUUUUGUUGGCAAUCCCCAGUUAAACCAGCUUCAGCUGGUGGUCCAGCUGCAGCCUACAAGGCCAGAGUCUAUGAUUCCCCAUUAGCUAUUAAUGGCUCCUACCAGGACUGAAGAGUUUCACCCAACAGGCAGGCCAACAGUACAUAAUAACUAAAACCAAAAUACUCUGCUAAUUAUUCCAGUACUUAGUGUUUCUUACAUUUGAAUUUGAUCUUGAGAAGUCAUGUCAGACAAACAAUUAAAUGAUCCCACCUCCACCCCACAAAAGCUUUUAAUUUCAAGAGAGAAUAGAUUCCUUGCCCCCUGCCCCCCCUCCAGACUCUCUUGAAUAUAAUUUUGAAAAAGACCUUCAUGGCUAAGUUAAACAUUGGGCAAGAGAAUGGCAGAAUGCCGGCCACUUUAUCUCAUAAUAUUAUAAUAAUAAAGAUGUUGUAUAAUAUUAUUACCCUUUUAUACUCAUUUUGGCCUUUUCCCUGUUGUCUUGGAACAUCUCCUUUGUCAUUCAUUGAUUUUAUUCUUAAUAAUAGCAGUACCCUGAAACACAGGCUAGACUGAGGCUCGUGCACACAACCAUACAAGAAGAUAGAGCAAUCACAUUCACCCACGGUGCUUUUCAGUGUAAUAUCUGUUGUCUUGAGUGGAAGUUUCACCUCCUCUCUCUCUCUCUCUCCAUUGUGGGCUCUAAAAUAUGCAGAAACCAGGAGCUCAGGGAGUCUGAGCUAAAAAAGACUGGAGGCUGAGGAAGCAAGAACGUAAGAACUGCGUCUGCCCUUUUCCCCAGGCAUCCACAUCUGGGCACUGUCAUUACACGACAUGGGGCUAAAUUGCUCUUAGGGCAGAUCCAGCACAGCCAGUUUCGUAUGUUAUACAGCACCUGAAUUUGGCUCUGGAAAGUGGUAAGAAUUAACACCUGCAUCUCAUGGAAUUUUUGCCAUCAGCUGAAGCUUUGUGAUUAGCAAAUUACACACCAUCACAAAUCAUAUCGAGCAUUCACUGGGGAAACAUUCCUCAAUCCAUUCCGUUUCCCUGUUCAAGCAGCUUUAUGCACUAUUCGUAAUGCUGUAUAGAAAUGGCAUACAUGACAUUGCAUGCACAUAAAAAUUCUCUAAAAAAAUUAAACACUUGCUAAUCUUGUGGGGACAUUGUGCUAAAAGUGGUGUAUCCAUGAAAAGAAAACCAAAUUCCACCUCAUGCAAGCUUAUCAAGAAAACAUACACAAUAUGCAACCAUUUCACAGCUGCCAAGAGAGAUCAGUCUAAUUUCUUUUUUUAGCUAGAAGGGGAAAUCUAACCAGGCAAAGCUGUUGGGAGCCAAGAAGACUAUUAAAAAAAAAAAAGUAGAAACCAUCCACAAUUUCAUCCAAAGGCAGAAGAGUUUGUCAGUGAAAUGCAUGCACUGGACCAAGUGAAAUAGUGGUGACAUUAAUGUGGCUGCACAUGAGGCAUGUCAAUUAAUGAAUUUGUUUGUGGCCUAUUUGUAAUUCUGGGAACUACUGCUACAGAAAACAUUUUGUGCAGUUCUGUUUCUGGUAUUCCUCUGUCCUUUUCUCUCCCAUCCUCCCCCCUCUCUGUCCCCUCUCGGCCCUCACCCAUACAACAACUGGUUGCAUGUUAACAGUAUUUCUCUUUGUGCCUAUGCAAAUACCAUUAGAUCCAAGCAUAUCCCACGGAAUUUGAGGCUAUCUGUUCGCAUGUACUGGGUAGUCAACAACUUCCACAGGACAACCAUUCUCCUCACCCAGCUUUUGUUUUCUUAAAAAUAUCUCAGGAAUGGUCUGAAUUGCUUAAAUGUUUUAAAUUAGUACCAAAAGAAGUCCCCCCACUCACCUCCCCAACUGCCCCUAACCCCCGUGCCAUUAGAAACCCAUUCAGCCCAAAGGGAGGCCAGAUGUUAAAAUCAUUUGGAAAAAAAUGAGUAUUUGGACGGUGGCAGGGUGGCUGGAUUAUCCAGCCCCGCUGGAGAAUGAGAGCCGUCGGUUCCCUGUAUGUAGCAGCUAAACCAAGACGGAGGGAGGACAGGGGCUGCACAGUCCUUGCCCGGGCUCCGCUGGGAAGCGGCGUGGAGAGGGCGCAGGGCCCUCCCGGGGAUGGCAUGCGAGCUGCCACACAAAAGGUGGCUCCAGGAGACUUCGUGCCUCAGAGAUACACCUAGGAAUCAAAACUUCUCUGCUCUCUGGGAGAGGGCAAUUAAUGGCUUACUCCAUAUUCCUGGAGCGAUUCAUGUCCAGCUUCGGAUCCCAGUGCAAGUUGCCCUUAUAGACGCCACGGGGAUACGCGUACAGUUUUCUGUGUCUGCGGUGCAGUCACUCUUCGGGCCUGCAUGGCUUCCAGCCACUUAAUUAACCUCUUGGGAGCUCAGUCACUGCCUCUGAACGAGGUGAUGUAUCCCUAGCUAGGUACUCCUCAGAUGAAAGAAGUGAUAUUAUCCUAAUUACCACAGUACCAUCCUGCUGCAAAUGGACUGCUUGUGCUUGGUUACCUACCACAGAUUUAAUCCGUGAGUGUAACACUCUUCUCUCCGUGUUUUCACAGCCCGGCUUUUCAGAGGAAGGCCCUUUGUUCCCAACUAGGAUGAUAAAUGGGUUUAGCUUUAUUUUCUCAGAGGGAAGCUUAAGUGAUUGUGCUGUCUGUCAUCUGUCUACGCCGAUAAGUUUUUAACUGCCACAGCAAAUUAUAAUUAUUUCCAAAGAAAAAAAUCGCUAGAGGCAGACAGCUCCAUGAUAAUGAUAUUUCUAUGGAUUUUGUGAAAGACAGCAGCAGACUGGGUUGGGGCUAGGGAGGAGGAGGAGGGAGAGGACAGAGCGCAAGACCACGCUGAGAGCGUGCCAUGUCAAGGAAAUCUGGGGGGCCUCAGCUGAUCCUCCGCCCGUCCUGGCCGAAGGCAGCCAGCCAGUCAGUCCGCAGGCACCGGAGCGUCUCUCCGAACGGCUCACGAGACCCACCGCCCCUGGGUAUUAUUUCACAGGGGACGUCACUGCGGCCGCAGCUGCCGCGGUGCAGAGGGGGAGCAGGCACAGACCUUCUGUGGGCCGGCUGUGAUGGAGGGAAAAGAUCUUGUUUUGAUGCAGGCACUGGCACUAUUUUGCCCUGGGCCUGUACUUGCAGGUUGCAAAACCUGGGUGGUGGAUGGGCUGGGCUGGUGGGUGCCUCCAGGGAGGACGGAUUGGCUAAGUGCAAGGCAUGGUUAGAAUAUGCUCCAUGCUGUAACUAACUGAACGUAAUAGUGCAUUGCUAACAAAUACUUGUAACGUGGGGGACAAUGUGUUCUCUGUGCUCAGAGACCUGCCAAUGCACUAAGGAAAGCUGCUAAGGCCAGGUUUGUAAAUGCAUUUAGGUGACUCAGCCAAGAUAUUUGAAGAUAGGUAGAGCCUAAUUCUCUCUGACACCAAAAGGGGUUCUGACUUACACUGCAUGGGAAGUCAUGUCUUUA